Orcinus orca (killer whale) is the source of this 1443-nucleotide long non-coding RNA. RefSeq lists it as uncharacterized. NCBI's taxonomy places the organism in Eukaryota, Metazoa, Chordata, Mammalia, Artiodactyla, Delphinidae. The record is from RefSeq and is a predicted model, not a curated record. The transcript is spliced from 2 exons.
AUUUGUCAUUUUUCCCUUGCUGCUUUCAAUAUUUUUUCUUUGUCUUUAAUUUUUGCCAAUUCGAUUACUAUGUAUCUUGGCGUGCUUCUCCUUGGGUUUAUCCUGUAUGGGACUCUGCGCUUCCUGGACUUGGGUGGCUAUCUCCUUUCCCAUGCUAGGGAAGUUUUCAACUAUAAUCUCUUCAAAUAUUUUCUUGGGUCCUUUCUCUCUCUCUUCUCCUUCUGGGACCCCUAUAAUGCAAAUGUUGUUGCAUUUAAUGUUGUCCCAGAGGUCUCUUAGGCUGUCUACAUUUCUUUUUAUUCUUUUUUCUUUAUUCUGUUCCACAGCAAUGAAUUCCACCCAGGUCACUUAUCUGUUCUUCUGCCUCACUUAUUCUGCUAUUGAUUCCUUCUAGAGAAUUUUUAAUUUCACUUAUUGUUGUUCAUCAUUGUUUGUUCGCUCAUUAGUUCUUCUAGGUCCUUGUUAAACAUUUCUUGUAUUUUCUCCAUUCUAUUUCCAAGAUUUUGGAUCAUCUUUACUAUCAUUACUCUGAAUUGUUUUCCAGGUAGACUGCCUAUUUCCUCUUCACUUGUUUGGUCUGGUGGGUUUUUACCAUGCUCCUUCAUCUGCUGUGUAUUUCUCAUUUUGCUUAACUUACUGUGUUUGGGGUCUCCUUUUCACAGGCUUCACAUUCCGUUCAUGCUUCCUAUUGUUUUUGGUGUCUGCCUGCAGUGACUAAAGUUGGUUCAGUGGGUUGUGUAGGCUUCCUGGUGGAGGGGACUGGUGCCUGUGUUCUGGUGGAUGAGGCUGGAUCUUGUCUUUCUGAUGGGCAGGACCACAUCCAGUGGUGUGUUUUGGGGUGUCUGUGACCUUAUGAUUUUAGGCAGCCUCUCUGCUAAUGGAUGGGGUUGUGUUCCUGUCUUGCUAGUUGUUUGGCAUAGGGUGUCUAGCACUGUAGCUUGCUAGUCAUUGAGUAGAGCUGGGUCUUUGUGUUGAGAUGGAGAUCUCUGAGAGAGCUUUUGCCGUUUGAUAUUACAUGGGGCCAGGAGGUCUCUGGUGGACCAAAGUCCUGAACUCAGCUCUCUCACCUCAGAGGCUCAGACCUGAUACCUGGCUGGAGCACCGAGAUCCUGUCAGCCACGUGGCUCAGAAGAAAAAGGAGAAAAGAAAGAUAGAAAGAAAGAAAAAUAAAAUAAAAUAAAAUAAAGUUAUUAAAAUAAAAAAUAUAUUGUUAAGAGUGAAAAAAAAGCAAUAAAGAAAAGAAAGAAAGAAGAGAGCAGCCAAACCAAAAAACAAAUCAACCAAUGAUAAGAAGUGCUAAAAACUAUACUAAAAAAAUAAAAAUAAUGGAGAGACAGAACCCUAGGACAAAUGGUAAAAGCAAAGUUAUACAGACAAAAUCACACAAAGAAGCACACACAUACACACUCACAAAAGGAGAAAAAUGAAAAAAAAAUAUAUAUA